GAUGAACGCUGGCGGCGUGCCUAAUACAUGCAAGUCGAGCGAACAGACGAGGCGCUUGCUCCUCUGACGUUAGCGGCGGACGGGUGAGUAACACGUGGAUAACCUACCUAUAAGACUGGGAUAACUUCGGGAAACCGGAGCUAAUACCGGAUAACAUGUUGAAACGCAUGGUUCAUCAGUGAAAGACGGUCUUGCUGUCACUUAUAGAUGGUUCCGCGCCGCAUUAGCUAGUUGGUACGGUAACGGCUUACCAAGGCAACGAUGCGUAGCCGACCUGAGAGGGUGAUCGGCCACACUGGAACUGAGACACGGUCCAGACUCCUACGGGAGGCAGCAGUAGGGAAUCUUCCGCAAUGGGCGAAAGCCUGACGGAGCAACGCCGCGUGAGUGAAGAAGGUCUUCGGAUCGUAAAACUCUGUUAUUAGGGAAGAACAGAUGUGUAAGUAACUAUGCACGUCUUGACGGUACCUAAUCAGAAAGCCACGGCUAACUACGUG
This 497-nucleotide ribosomal RNA is filed under the name uncultured bacterium. RNAcentral describes it as "partial 16S ribosomal RNA". It matches the Rfam family "Bacterial small subunit ribosomal RNA", at positions 28 to 507 of the family's 1533-position model. The record is from RNAcentral.